AAAAAAUACAUAAUUUUGAAAUGUUCAUUUUUAGUUGACCUACUCUUUUAAUCAUUUAUAUAUCUUUCCUCAGUGCACUUUCUCAAGAAGAGCAAGAUGAUUCACAGCUGAAGAUUGAGGACAUUGUGCACAUGUCCGACUGUCCAAGAGUCGAAUGCUUUGAGUCGCUGUCAGUGAUGGAACUAGCAGAACAAAUCACUCUACUGGACCAUAUUGUGUUCUGGAAUAUUCCAUAUGAGGAGUUUCUUGGUCAAGGCUGGAUGAAAACAGACAAAAACGAAAGGACUCCAUACAUUAUGAAGACCAGUCAGCACUUCAAUGAUGUGGGCAAAAAUGAUAAACUAUAAACAUAUUAUUAGUAGUAGUAGUAGUAAAUUAAUAAAUAAAUUAAUUAAUAUUUGAUCAUUCUAAUAACAAAAUGCACUAUGCUUGACUAUACAGUUAUUUAAUUAAACUGCAGUCUUU
Molecule: long non-coding RNA, 465 nt
Organism: Cyprinus carpio (common carp)
Lineage: Eukaryota; Metazoa; Chordata; Actinopteri; Cypriniformes; Cyprinidae
Exons: 3
Source: RefSeq, a predicted model, not a curated record